RNAcentral lists this unclassified non-coding RNA (345 nucleotides) under soil metagenome. RNAcentral describes it as "partial contains 5.8S ribosomal RNA, internal transcribed spacer 2, and large subunit ribosomal RNA". The stretch from base 1 to 120 matches the Rfam family "5.8S ribosomal RNA", at positions 35 to 154 of the family's 154-position model. The record is from RNAcentral.
GAUGAAGAACGUAGUGAAAUGCGAUACGUAAUGUGAAUUGCAGAAUUCAGUGAAUCAUCGAGUCUUUGAACGCACAUUGCGCCCCCUGGUAUUCCGGGGGGCAUGCCUGUCCGGGCGUCAUUGCUGCCCUCAAGCACGGCUUGUGUGUUGGGCCUCCGUCCUCCUCCCGGGGGACGGGCCCGAAAGGCAGCGGCGGCACCGCGUCCGGUCCUCGAGCGUAUGGGGCUUCGUCACCCGCUCUUGUAGGCCCGGCCGGCGCUUGCCGACACAUCAAUCUUUUUUCCAGGUUGACCUCGGAUCAGGUAGGGAUACCCGCUGAACUUAAGCAUAUCAAUAAGCGGAGGA